RNAcentral lists this non-coding RNA (94 nucleotides) under unclassified sequences. RNAcentral's name for it is "malK-III RNA". It matches the Rfam family "malK-III RNA". The record is from RNAcentral.
CCAGUCGGCACCUCGUAUGGGGCUCGUCCGAGUCCGCUCAGCGGCCGGAUACAGGAGCCCGCGAUGACCCGGCGGGUUGGAGGAGCUGUCCGUG